Molecule: ribosomal RNA, 829 nt
Filed under: uncultured bacterium
Lineage: Bacteria
Description: bacterial SSU rRNA
Rfam family: Bacterial small subunit ribosomal RNA
Source: RNAcentral
AGGGGCGAGCGUUGUCCGGAUUUACUGGGCGUAAAGGGUGCGUAGGCGGAUAUUUAAGUCAGAUGUGAAAACCCCGGGCUUAACUUGGGGACUGCAUUUGAAACCGGAUAUCUAGAGUGCAGGAGAGGAAAGCGGAAUUCCUAGUGUAGCGGUGAAAUGCGUAGAGAUUAGGAAGAACACCAGUGGCGAAGGCGGCUUUCUGGACUGUAACUGACGCUGAGGCACGAAAGCGUGGGUAGCAAACAGGAUUAGAUACCCUGGUAGUCCACGCUGUAAACGAUGAGUACUAGGUGUAGGAGGUAUCGACCCCUUCUGUGCCGCAGUAAACACAAUAAGUACUCCGCCUGGGAAGUACGAUCGCAAGAUUAAAACUCAAAGGAAUUGACGGGGGCCCGCACAAGCAGCGGAGCAUGUGGUUUAAUUCGAAGCAACGCGAAGAACCUUACCUGGACUUGACAUCCCCUGAAUAGCCUAGAGAUAGGCGAAGCCCUUCGGGGCAGGGAGACAGGUGGUGCAUGGUUGUCGUCAGCUCGUGUCGUGAGAUGUUAGGUUAAGUCCUGCAACGAGCGCAACCCCUAUUAUUAGUUGCUAACAUUAAGUUGAGCACUCUAAUGAGACUGCCCGGGUUAACCGGGAGGAAGGUGGGGAUGACGUCAAAUCAUCAUGCCCCUUAUGUCCAGGGCUACACACGUGCUACAAUGGUGAGUACAACAAGAUGCGAACCCGCGAGGGGGAGCAAAACUUAUAAAACUCAUCCCAGUUCGGAUUGUAGGCUAAAACUCGCCUACAUGAAGCUGGAGUUGCUAGUAAUCGCGAAUCAGCAUGUCGC